This 409-nucleotide ribosomal RNA is filed under the name uncultured soil bacterium. RNAcentral describes it as "bacterial SSU rRNA". It matches the Rfam family "Bacterial small subunit ribosomal RNA", at positions 509 to 916 of the family's 1533-position model. The record is from RNAcentral.
CAGCCGCCGCGGUAAUACGUAGGGGGCGAGCGUUGUCCGGAAUUAUUGGGCGUAAAGAGCGUGUAGGCGGUUCGGUAAGUCUGCCGUGAAAACCUGGGGCUCAACCCCAGGCGUGCGGUGGAUACUGCCGGGCUAGAGGGUGGUAGAGGCGAGUGGAAUUCCCGGUGUAGCGGUGAAAUGCGCAGAUAUCGGGAGGAACACCAGUAGCGAAGGCGGCUCGCUGGGCCAUACCUGACGCUGAGACGCGAAAGCGUGGGGAGCAAACAGGAUUAGAUACCCUGGUAGUCCACGCCGUAAACGAUGAACACUAGGUGUGGGCGGAGUCGAAUCUGUCCGUGCCGCAGCCAACGCGUUAAGUGUUCCGCCUGGGGAGUACGGCCGCAAGGCUAAAACUCAAAUGAAUUGACGG